RNAcentral lists this long non-coding RNA (2018 nucleotides) under Homo sapiens (human). RNAcentral's name for it is "HSALNT0374915". Lineage: Eukaryota; Metazoa; Chordata; Mammalia; Primates; Hominidae. The record is from RNAcentral.
GGUAAUGCAAAGGAGCCAUUCAUCCAGGGAUGCUGGAGGUCUGGGCUCACCUGGGAAUGGAGAUGGCAACACCUACAUGUGACCUUUCCAGCAUGGCAGUCUCAGAGUGGAUAUGGCAACAGCUGCACAUGAACUCUCCGGCAUGGCAGUCUCAGAGUGGAUAUGGCAACAGCUGCACAUGACCUCUCCGGCAUGGCAGUCUCAGAGUGGAUAUGGCAACACCUGCACACGACCUCUCCGGCAUGGCAGUCUCAGAGUGGAUAUGGCAACACCUACACACGACCUCUCCAGCAUGGCAGUCUCAGAGUGGAUAUGGCAACAGCUACACAUGACCUCACCGGCAUGGCAGUCUCAGAGUGGAUAUGGCAACAGCUACACAUGACCUCACCAGCAUGGCAGUCUCAGGUUACUGGUACUUCUUAGGUCUCAGCUGAGGACUCCAGUGCAGGUGUUGCAAGACAGCAGACGUAGCACUGCUUAUGUGUAUCCUGAAGUCCCAUGUGUAUCCUGAAGUCCCAGAAAGCUGCUUCAAGUAGAUUCCAGUGGAGAAGGGAGUCACCAAGGCUGGACAGUCAUUUAUCCAUGGCAGGACUAGCAAAAAAAUCUGCACCAUCUCUCAUCGCACACACGUGGGCGCAGUCAACAGCAGUGGAAGAGCUGGCUCAUGUGUGGCUCAGGCUGACUCCACAAUCAGAGUGAUUAUGUGGAAAUCAAUCAGAAUUUUCUUCUUAGAAGAUGUUUGUUCUGACAUAAUGACUGACUUUCCAGCUAAUUUUUAUUCAUAGGCUUCUCCUUGCACAAUGAUCUCUAUUUCUCUCAAUGUUAUUCUGUGUCUUUCUUGCUUGCCUGCACAUUCUGAAAAAAAAAGGAAAGCAAUUCCCUACAUUUUAUUUUGAUACUUAAUGUUGUUUGCUAACAUAUUCAGAACACAAUGCAACUUUAUAUAUUAGAGCACUUAUAAUAUAUAUUAGGAAAACAUCAAUUAGGUACCACCAGUUAUUUUAGACAGGUAUCUCUUAGGUAAAAUGUGGUGAAAAUAGAGGGGCAAUGAUAGAAUUCAUAUGUGAAAGAGUCAAUUGGCCAUCAUUAUGCCAAAAUUAUUUUGUGGUUCAGGGGACAUUUUAAACUUUAAUUUUUAAGAAUUAAACUUUAAUUAAAUUUAUUGUAGUUUAAAUGCAAUCACAAGGAAAGACUCUGAACUGGAAACACCAAGCCAAGCUCUUUCCUAGUUCUGGUCCCCUAUAAACCCUGAAAGUUAAUGCAAUUAUUGUAAUUUUUAAACCACCGAGUUCUCAGGGUGAUUAGUUAUGCAGCAAUAGAUAGCCUGAAAAGGACCAUUCUUUCUGGCACUGAAAAUUAAGAAGAGUGAUUAACAACAUAAGAAUGUAGUUUGUGCUGUCUGCCACAGAUUUAUGUUGUAGCUUCAGUGAUUGCUUCAAAGCACCCUUACUAAUUGCCAGCCUAUUGCUGAUACCUAGCUAAAUUAGCAUGUGUUAGUUUUGAUACCACUAUAGGCAUUUAAAGGAUAGCUGAUACAUUCUAUAUAAAAUAUAAUUAUUUUCCUAUCUUUAGUUUAUCCUAAAGUAGCAGCUAUUAUAUUCGCUUCUUGAUUAGCUUUAUACAUAACCAGAGAAAGUAAAAUAUCACAGAGUAUAUUUGAAGACAUAAAAGUCUUUGGACAAAGCUCAAGUAAUGAAUCAGGAUGCUAUUACAUCCUCCACAUGACAGUAAAUAUAUUUUAUAUUCCUAAAUUUUAAGCUUUUAACAAAAGCAAAUUUUAUACUGGACUAUUUCAAUUUCUAGGGAAAGGAAAUUAUCAUUUACUGUCUUUGAGGCUAUAAUCUAUUUAGCCAUUAUUUUUAUAUUGAUCAAUUUAUAAUAAAGGUAAGAGAAAAUACUACCACAUAUAUGUUGUUUAUAUAAUUUUAACUUUCAUAAUUAAAAUACUGGGUAUACUGCAAGAUGUCAAUAUUUAUAAUAGCUUAUAUUUGGAAACAAUUAUACUUUAUAUACUCCUA